This is a long non-coding RNA of Ipomoea nil (Japanese morning glory), 1067 nucleotides long. RefSeq lists it as uncharacterized. The transcript has 3 exons. The record is from RefSeq and is a predicted model, not a curated record. Lineage: Eukaryota; Viridiplantae; Streptophyta; Magnoliopsida; Solanales; Convolvulaceae.
UGAAGAAUUCCAGCCGCAACCUUCCUUCUCCUCAGCCAAACAACUCCCAUUCUUCCAUCUAAAGAAACUAGCAGCCCUCAUUCCCGUUUUCUUCAUCCUCCCUCACCUCUCGUCGACGGCUUCGGCAACAAGGAAGCCGACGUCUUCUUCUUCCCUCAGCAGUAGCGGUGAGCAGCGACGUCAAGCAGAAGCAACCACCGGCAGCCUUCAACCUUCCCCCCCCCCCCCCCCCCCUCCUCUUUCCGACUUCUGUUUGGAGAAGCGGUGCAGCAAAAGGCAGCUUGACGAGGCAAACAGUGGCGGAAAGCAGCAACUGGGCAACGGUGACGCAGUUCGGCGGUGUGGUCGACGGCGACGCAGCCCAGCGGUGGCGUUUCCCCUCUUGUUCCGGCGAAGAAAGCUUCUCCGGCAUGGGCAGAGCAUCAAUGGCGUCUAGUCUAGACAGCUCCGGCAGCUUGAGGAACGUUGGUGGCGGAUGGCGUCUCUCCGGUAGUGGAGGUCGGCAUCUCUCCGGUAGUGGCGCUUCUCCUCCGGCGAAGCAGAGUAGGCCGCGGGUGGUGACGCGGGCGGUGAGUUCUCGUGGCUCUACCCGCUGCCUCCCAGUGAUGAAUCGAAGAAGAAGAAGAAAGCAGUGGUUCCCGGUAGCUUGGCUUUAUGAUUUGAGCCUAUGUUGGCAUUGUUUUUGGAUGUUAAGCGAAUGAGGUUAUGAGGUUGGCGGUAAUGAGCUGCGUGCUCAAAAUGAUUGGCGGUAUAUUGCACUGCGUGUGCUUAUGAUAUUGCGCUGCGUAUGCGAUUAUGAUUAUGUUCAUGAAAAGCUGGCGGAAAAGAAGGCGAGGAGCAUGGCUCUGGAGGGAUAAGGUUGAACUAGUGUCCAGGGUGGUCUCAGAGGUAAAGGCUGGAACUAUUAUAAAGAUGGAGUGGUGUAAGGUUUGAAUGUGAAAUAAGGUUCGAACUUGUAACCUGUAACUUGAUUAUGGUUUGUUAUUUUUGUAUGCUAUCAUUGUCUUAUCAUGUCAAUUCUACGGGUAUGUCAUGAGUCCGAUUGGGUCGAUGAGUGUACCCUCUAG